RNAcentral lists this ribosomal RNA (505 nucleotides) under uncultured bacterium. RNAcentral describes it as "partial 16S ribosomal RNA". It matches the Rfam family "Bacterial small subunit ribosomal RNA", at positions 28 to 507 of the family's 1533-position model. The record is from RNAcentral.
GACGAACGCUGGCGGCGUGCCUAAUACAUGCAAGUAGAACGCACAGUUUAUACCGUAGCUUGCUACACCAUAGACUGUGAGUUGCGAACGGGUGAGUAACGCGUAGGUAACCUGCCUGGUAGCGGGGGAUAACUAUUGGAAACGAUAGCUAAUACCGCAUAAUAUUGAUUAUUGCAUGAUAAUUGAUUGAAAGAUGCUAUUGCAUCACUACCAGAUGGACCUGCGUUGUAUUAGCUAGUAGGUGAGGUAACGGCUCACCUAGGCGACGAUACAUAGCCGACCUGAGAGGGUGAUCGGCCACACUGGGACUGAGACACGGCCCAGACUCCUACGGGGGGCAGCAGUAGGGAAUCUUCGGCAAUGGACGAAAGUCUGACCGAGCAACGCCGCGUGAGUGAAGAAGGUUUUCGGAUCGUAAAGCUCGGUUGUAAGAGAAGAACGGGUGUGAGAGUGGAAAGUUAACACUGUGACGGUAUCUUACCAGAAAGGGACGGCUAACUACGUG